RNAcentral lists this ribosomal RNA (206 nucleotides) under uncultured fungus. RNAcentral describes it as "partial small subunit ribosomal RNA". The record is from RNAcentral. Lineage: Eukaryota; Fungi.
GAUCAGGAAUACCAGGCUCUCAAGGCUUGGUAAAUCCUAGAUCAUCCUCCUGGGAACUAUGUGCGUACUUUAAUGGACGGCAUAAGGAACGGGAUUUUUACUUUGAAUAAAUUAGAGUGUUUCAAGCAGGCUUACGCCCGAAUACUUCAGCUGAGAAUAAUAGAAUAGGACUGGGUCCAUUUUGUUGGUUUUUAUAGGAUUCAGUA